RNAcentral lists this long non-coding RNA (961 nucleotides) under Drosophila guanche. The record is from RNAcentral. Lineage: Eukaryota; Metazoa; Arthropoda; Insecta; Diptera; Drosophilidae.
UCCCUCGAAUGAGCAGCGCUAGUAAUCUUCGUAACCAUAGUUACAGGCCACGCCCAUCUAGUGCUCGUGCGAAUUUCACAGACCUUCCUAGUGAAUCUCCUGAUAAGAUCUCAAAUAUCAUUUCCAAGUGGCGUAUAAAAUUCAGUGGAUCUUCCAAAUAUAUUCCCAUCGAAGAUUUUAUUUAUAGAGUGAAUUGUCUACCAAUAAUUGUUUAAAUGGAAACUUUACCUUACUGGCGCAGUUCGCUAGUCUCUUAUUUACUGAUUCAGCCUUGUCAUUUUACUGGCGUGUUCAUAGGACCACGAAUAACCUUGACUGGUAUGAGUUAUGCAGCCGGUUGCAAGAGAGAUACCAGGAUCAACGUUCGGAUCGAGAGAUCAAAGCAGCCAUGCGUAGGCGUAAACAGGGUAGUAAUGAAAGCUUUGACGAUUUUCUAGAUGCGAUUCUAUCUAUCGCAGACUCUUUACGAGAGCCUAUGCGGGACGGUGACGUCACCAUAGAGGUUCGCGAGAAUUUAAAGUCGGAACUGAAGCUCGACUUGCUUCAUAUCGAAACUCCAGAUUUGGCAACCUUACGCAAGGAGUGUCACAAGCACGAGGAAUUCUUUCGAAAUCUGAAGUCAAAUCAUUUUUCGCGACACGAAGUAGUGAAUAGCAAGAGGUUUGUGAACUCCAUUAGCCAUGACGAAGAAGCUGAUGAUAAUUCCGAAAAAGAAGGGGACUCCCUUGACGAAGUUUAUGCACUCCGAUCUUCCGAAAUUAUUAAAUGCUGGAAUUGCGAAGAACAGGGCCACAAAUACCAGGAAUGCCUAAAACCUCGUCGUAUUUUCUGUUAUGGUUGUGGUGUACCUGAUACGUACAAGCCCAACUGUGCAAGGUGUAAAUCGACUACGGAAAACGUGUCCCAGGAUGUCCGUCGGUCAACAAGACGCGACAUCCGACGUUAGUCUCGGAUGUUCAAC